ACCGCCUGCCCUGUGGAACCCUAAACGGCCGCGGCAUUAAAACCGUGCAAAGGUAGCACAAUCACUUGUCCCCUAAAUGAGGACGCGUAUGAAAGGCAACAUGAGAGAAGACCUGUCUCCUAAGGACUGCCAAUGAAAUUGAACUGCCAGUUCAAAAGCUGGUAUUUUUAAGCAAGACAAAAAGACCCUGUGGAACUUUAAUGAACUGUCUUAAAAAAAAGACAGUAAUUUCAGUUGGGACAACUUUAGAAAAAACAAACUUCCUAAUCUACCAAGACUAACAAGUCAAAACCUACUAUAUGACCCAGUAGUACUGAUUAACGAAAUAAGCUACCCCAGGGAUAACAGCGCCACCUUCUCAAAGAGUCCAUAUCAACAAGAAGACCUACGACCUCGAUGUUGGAUCAGGGUACCCAGACGGUGCAACAGCUGUCAACGGUUCGUUUGUUCAACGAUUAAUACCCU
Molecule: ribosomal RNA, 465 nt
Filed under: Furcifer campani
Lineage: Eukaryota; Metazoa; Chordata; Lepidosauria; Squamata; Chamaeleonidae
Description: partial 16S ribosomal RNA
Rfam family: Bacterial large subunit ribosomal RNA
Source: RNAcentral